GCCUGUAUCCUGAGGCUGGAGGAGGGGGUCUGCAGAUACAUUCUGGCAGUUUCUGUUCUGAAUUUUGAUGAUUGUCUAUUGAAAAAUUGCAUGGGCCAUCCUGUGUCAAGACAAUCAUUGCUGUCUCCUCCUUUUAGAAGGAACAAACACUGUAUCAACACUGUGCAGAUGUGUUUUAACCCAGCAGAAUAUUUCAGUGAGUUUUAUGGCCUCAUUUUCCACUAAAGUUGUGCCCGGACAGUGCAAAGCAGAACUGUGGGAGAAGGACUUGAGACCAGCUCUGAGCAAGCAGGAGUAUCUCCACUGCUCAGCACUGCAACAUGUUGUCAAAAUUAUUGACAGCAUUUUGGGGAUGCCAGAAUAUUGGCACAGUGUGGAUGGGGCUAUUUCAGGGAUCUUUCCACCAAGUGGCAGAGAUGUAACCGAGCUACAUUAGUAGCAGCCCAAACAAGCAGUAACAAAAGUUUAAUGGCACAGGGAAACUAGUAAAAAUACCAAAGUUGAUGGUUUUCUUCCAACAAUCAGAAGCAUUCAAAAUUAGAAAUAUUGAAUAAAUAGAAAGAAUGACUUAGUGUCAAAGGUCAUGUUUAAGAUUGAAACUGAUAAACAAGUGUAUUUCAAGAU
This is a long non-coding RNA of Cyanistes caeruleus (blue tit), 624 nucleotides long. RefSeq lists it as uncharacterized. Lineage: Eukaryota; Metazoa; Chordata; Aves; Passeriformes; Paridae. The record is from RefSeq and is a predicted model, not a curated record.